RNAcentral lists this ribosomal RNA (502 nucleotides) under uncultured bacterium. Its description in RNAcentral is "partial 16S ribosomal RNA". It matches the Rfam family "Bacterial small subunit ribosomal RNA", at positions 30 to 523 of the family's 1533-position model. The record is from RNAcentral.
AUCGAACGCUGGCGGCAUGCCUUACACAUGCAAGUCGAACGGCAGCAUGGGUGCUUGCACCUGAUGGCGAGUGGCGAACGGGUGAGUAAUGCAUCGGAACGUGCCCUGAAGUGGGGGAUAACGUAGCGAAAGUUACGCUAAUACCGCAUAUUCUGUGAGCAGGAAAGCAGGGGAUCGCAAGACCUUGUGCUUUAGGAGCGGCCGAUGUCGGAUUAGCUAGUUGGUGAGGUAAAGGCUCACCAAGGCGACGAUCCGUAGCGGGUCUGAGAGGAUGAUCCGCCACACCGGGACUGAGACACGGCCCAGACUCCUACGGGAGGCAGCAGUGGGGAAUUUUGGACAAUGGGCGCAAGCCUGAUCCAGCCAUGCCGCGUGAGUGAAGAAGGCCUUCGGGUUGUAAAGCUCUUUCGGUGGGGAAGAAAUGGUUUCGGUUAAUACCCGGAAUUGAUGACGGUACCCGCAUAAGAAGCACCGGCUAACUACGUGCCAGCCGCCGCAGUAA